AGGUCUAAGAGGAGGACAUCAAAAACUAGUGAGUUACUGGAGGAUCGAAGCUAUGUCCGAACCCUAUGAUCCAGCCCCUACUCACCCCUUCGAUGGCUCUGAGCCAUCCUUCGUGGUCAAGGAGGGAUUGAGAUGAUGGGCCCUCACUAUGCCGCACUACGACGUACUCUGCAUAAUUCGCCUGUAUAGUUUAAAAAUUCAUUAGUGCUAUUAUACAUA
This 219-nucleotide long non-coding RNA is filed under the name Elaeis guineensis (African oil palm). RNAcentral's name for it is "long non-coding RNA (EGUI_LNC017776)". Lineage: Eukaryota; Viridiplantae; Streptophyta; Magnoliopsida; Arecales; Arecaceae. The record is from RNAcentral.